GAUGAACGCUGGCGGCGUGCCUAAUACAUGCAAGUCGAGCGAACAGACGAUGAGCUUGCUCCUCUGAUGUUAGCGGCGGACGGGUGAGUAACACGUGGAUAACCUACCUAUAAGACUGGUAUAACUUCGGGAAACCGGAGCUAAUACCGUAUAACAUGUUGAACCGCAUGGUUCAACAGUGAAAGACGGUCUUGCUGGCACUUGUAGAUGGAUCCGCGCCGUAUUAGCUUGUUGUGGAGGUAACGGCUUUCCAAGGCAACGACGGGUAGCCGGCCGGAGAGGGUGACCGGCCACAUUGGGACAGAGAUACGGCCCAGACUCCUACGGGAGGCAGCAGUGUGGAAUAUUGCACAAUGGGCGGAAGCCUGAUGCAGCAACGCCGCGUGCGGGAUGACGGCCUUCGGGUUGUAAACCGCUUUCGCCUGUGACGAAGCGUGAGGGACGGUAAUGGGUAAAGAAGCACCGGCUAACUACGUG
This 477-nucleotide ribosomal RNA is filed under the name uncultured bacterium. Its description in RNAcentral is "partial 16S ribosomal RNA". It matches the Rfam family "Bacterial small subunit ribosomal RNA", at positions 28 to 507 of the family's 1533-position model. The record is from RNAcentral.